AACGAACGCUGGCGGCCUGCCUAACACAUGCAAGUCGAACGAGACCUUCGGGUCUAGUGGCGCACGGGUGCGUAACGCGUGGGAACCUGCCUUUAGGUUCGGAAUAACUCAGAGAAAUUUGAGCUAAUACCGGAUGAUGUCUUCGGACCAAAGAUUUAUCGCCUUUAGAUGGGCCCGCGUUGGAUUAGCUAGUUGGUGGGGUAAAGGCCUACCAAGGCGACGAUCCAUAGCUGGUCUGAGAGGAUGAUCAGCCACACUGGGACUGAGACACGGCCCAGACUCCUACGGGAGGCAGCAGUGGGGAAUAUUGGACAAUGGGCGAAAGCCUGAUCCAGCAAUGCCGCGUGAGUGAUGAAGGCCUUAGGGUUGUAAAGCUCUUUUAACCGAGAUGAUAAUGACAGUAUCGGGAGAAUAAGCUCCGGCUAACUCCGUG
This 433-nucleotide ribosomal RNA is filed under the name uncultured bacterium. RNAcentral describes it as "partial 16S ribosomal RNA". It matches the Rfam family "Bacterial small subunit ribosomal RNA", at positions 29 to 507 of the family's 1533-position model. The record is from RNAcentral.